RNAcentral lists this ribosomal RNA (474 nucleotides) under uncultured bacterium. RNAcentral's name for it is "partial 16S ribosomal RNA". It matches the Rfam family "Bacterial small subunit ribosomal RNA", at positions 30 to 523 of the family's 1533-position model. The record is from RNAcentral.
AUUGAACGCUGGCGGCAGGCCUAAUACAUGCAAGUCGAACGGUAACAUAAGAAAAGCUUGCUUUUCUUGAUGACGAGUGGCGGACGGGCGAGUAAUAUUUGGGAAACUACCUGAUAGAGGGGGACAACAGUUGGAAACGACUGCUAAUACCGCAUACAGCCUCAGGGUGAAAGAAGCGAUUCGCUAUCAGAUGUGCCCAAACGGGGUUAGCUAGUAGGUGAGGUAAAGGCUCACCUAGGCGACGAUCUCUAGCUGGUCUGAGAGGAUGAUCAGCCACAUUGGGACUGAGACACGGCCCAGACUCCUACGGGAGGCAGCAGUAGGGAAUAUUGCACAAUGGAGGAAACUCUGAUGCAGCCAUGCCGCGUGUGUGAAGAAGGCCUUCGGGUUGUAAAGCACUUUCGGAGGGGAGGAAGAAAAUGACGUUACCCUCAGAAGAAGCACCGGCUAACUCCGUGCCAGCAGCCGCCGUAA